Molecule: ribosomal RNA, 300 nt
Filed under: Pelobates cultripes (western spadefoot toad)
Lineage: Eukaryota; Metazoa; Chordata; Amphibia; Anura; Pelobatidae
Rfam family: Eukaryotic small subunit ribosomal RNA
Source: RNAcentral
GCAGGCUGGCCACCCAGUAAUCAGCACAAGUUAGAAUGUGGGCAACUCGGCAGUCGUUGCGCAGGCACUUUGGUGACUCUAGAUAACCUCGGGCCAAUCGCACGUGCCCGUGACGGCGACGACGCAUUCGGAUGUCUGCCCUAUCAACUUUCGAUGGUACUGUCUGCGCCUACCAUGGUGACCACGGGUAACAGGGAAUCAGGGUUCGAUUCCGGAGAGGGAGCCUGAGAAACGGCUACCACAUCCAAGGAAGGCAGCAGGCGCGCAAUUUACCCACUUCCGACGCGGGGAGGUAGUGAC